CCAUUUUGGGUGUUUCAGUGGUGGUCUCAGCAGACCCUUAUGAGCACAAGUCUUCUCCACCACCACCAUAUGAGUACAAGUCUCCACCACCACCCUCACCUUCACCUCCACCAUAUGAAUAUAAGUCUCCUCCCCCACCACCAUAUGAGUACAAGUCUCCACCACCACCCUCUCCUUCACCACCACCAUAUGAGUACAAGUCUCCUCCCCCACCACCAUAUGAGUACAAGUCUCCACCACCACCCUCACCUUCACCUGCACCGUAUGAAUACAAGUCUCCUCCCCCACCACCAUAUGAAUAUAAAUCUCCUCCCCCACCACCAUAUGAGUACAAGUCUCCACCACCACCCUCUCCUUCACCUGCACCAUAUGAAUACAAGUCUCCUCCACCACCACCAUAUGAAUAUAAGUCUCCUCCCCCACCACCAUAUGAGUACAAGUCUCCACCACCACCCUCUCCUUCACCUCCACCAUAUGAGUACAAGUCUCCUCCCCCACCACCAUAUGAGUACAAGUCUCCACCACCACCCUCACCUUCACCUGCACCGUAUGAAUACAAGUCUCCUCCCCCACCACCAUAUGAAUAUAAGUCUCCUCCACCACCCUCUCCUUCACCUGCACCAUAUGAAUACAAGUCUCCUCCACCACCACCAUAUGAAUAUAAGUCUCCUCCUCCACCUUCACCCUCUCCACCACCACCAUAUGAGUACAAGUCUCCACCACCACCCUCUCCUUCACCUGCACCAUAUAAAUACAAGUCUCCUCCACCACCACCAUAUGAAUAUAAGUCUCCUCCUCCACCUUCACCUUCACCUGCACCAUAUAAAUACAAGUCUCCUCCACCACCACCAUAUGAAUAUAAGUCUCCUCCCCACCACCAUAUGAGUACAAGUCUCCACCACCACCCUCUCCUUCACCUGCACCAUAUAAAUACAAGUCUCCUCCCCCACCACCAUAUGAGUACAAGUCUCCACCACCACCCUCUCCUUCACCUGCACCAUAUAAAUACAAGUCUCCUCCACCACCACCAUAUGAAUAUAAGUCUCCUCCUCCACCUUCACCCUCUCCACCACCACCAUAUGAGUACAAGUCUCCACCACCACCCUCUCCUUCACCUGCACCAUAUAAAUACAAGUCUCCUCCACCACCACCAUAUGAAUAUAAGUCUCCUCCUCCACCUUCACCCUCUCCACUACCACCAUAUGAGUACAAGUCUCCACCACCACCCUCUCCUUCACCUGCACCAUAUGAGUACAAGUCUCCUCCCCCACCACCAUAUGAGUACAAGUCUCCACCACCACCCUCACCUUCACCUGCACCGUAUGAAUACAAGUCUCCUCCCCCACCACCAUAUGAAUAUAAGUCUCCACCACCGCCCUCUCCUUCACCUGCACCAUAUGAAUACAAGUCUCCUCCACCACCACCAAUGAAGCCUCCACAUCCACCAUACUACUAUAAUUCUCCACCACCACCAGUGAAGCCUCCACAUCCGCCAUACUACUAUAAUUCUCCGCCACCACCAGUUAAGCCACCACAUCCACCAUACUACUACACUUCUCCUCCACCACCACCAAUGAAGCCUCCACAUCCACCAUACUACUAUAAUUCUCCACCACCGCCAAUGAAGCCUCCACAUCCGCCAUACUACUAUAAUUCUCCACCACCACCAGUUAAGCCACCACAUCCACCAUACUACUACACUUCUCCUCCACCACCACCAAUGAAGCCUCCACAUCCACCAUACUACUAUAAUUCUCCACCACCGCCAAUGAAGCCUCCACAUCCGCCAUACUACUAUAAUUCUCCACCACCGCCCUCUCCUUCACCUGCACCAUAUGAAUACAAGUCUCCUCCACCACCACCAAUGAAGCCUCCACAUCCACCAUACUACUAUAAUUCUCCACCACCACCAGUGAAGCCUCCACAUCCGCCAUACUACUAUAAUUCUCCACCACCACCAGUGAAGC
Molecule: long non-coding RNA, 1967 nt
Filed under: Coffea arabica (coffee)
Lineage: Eukaryota; Viridiplantae; Streptophyta; Magnoliopsida; Gentianales; Rubiaceae
Description: long non-coding RNA (CARA_LNC002214)
Source: RNAcentral